UGGGGAAUAUUGCACAAUGGGGGAAACCCUGAUGCAGCGACGCCGCGUGAAGGAAGAAGUAUCUCGGUAUGUAAACUUCUAUCAGCAGGGUAAGAAAAUGACGGUACCUGACUAAGAAGCCCCGGCUAACUACGUGCCAGCAGCCGCGGUAAUACGUAGGGGGCAAGCGUUAUCCGGAUUUACUGGGUGUAAAGGGAGCGUAGACGGCGAAGCAAGUCUGGUGUGAAAACCCGGGGCUCAACCCCGGGCCUGCAUUGGAAACUGUUUUGCUUGAGUGCCGGAGAGGUAAGCGGAAUUCCUAGUGUAGCGGUGAAAUGCGUAGAUAUUAGGAGGAACACCAGUGGCGAAGGCGGCUUACUGGACAGUGACUGACGCUGGGGCACGAAAGCGUGGGUAUCGAACAGGAUUAGAUACCC
This 416-nucleotide ribosomal RNA is filed under the name uncultured bacterium. RNAcentral describes it as "bacterial SSU rRNA". It matches the Rfam family "Bacterial small subunit ribosomal RNA", at positions 355 to 787 of the family's 1533-position model. The record is from RNAcentral.